UCCGGUUUGUCAUCGGCAGUCCCAUUAGAGUGCUCAACUGAAUGUAGCAACUGAUGGCAAGGGUUGCGCUCGUUGCGCCACUUAAGGCAACACCUCACGGCACGAGCUGACGACAGCCAUGCAGCACCUGUGCAGGCUCCCGAAGGAGCACCGGCUUUCACCGGUUUCACCCUGCAUGUCAAGCCCUGGUAAGGUUCUUCGCGUUGCGUCGAAUUAAGCCACAUGCUCCGCCGCUUGUGCGGGUCCCCGUCAAUUCCUUUGAGUUUUAACCUUGCGGCCGUACUCCCCAGGCGGAUAACUUAAUGCGUUAGCUGCGCCACCAAAAGCCUAAGGCCCCUGACAGCUAGUUAUCAUCGUUUACGGCGUGGACUAC
Molecule: unclassified non-coding RNA, 373 nt
Filed under: uncultured bacterium
Lineage: Bacteria
Description: contains 16S-23S intergenic spacer region
Source: RNAcentral